CCUUCCUUUAUACUCUAAUUCUCUACACAAGUUAUGGCUGUGCGUCUUUCUCGGUAAAUUAUCCCAACAUCAUCAUUGUUUUAUUUAAUUUCAUCACGUUUGCAGAAGUAGAGUCAAGGAGCUUGUUUGAUGGCGGAGCUCCCGGGAUGGUGCAGGUGGUAAAGAAGGUCAAGUCUAGGAGGUUUUUCUAAAAUGGAAGCAGGAGUUACUAAUCGCUCGCGAUGUCGGACUUUCUUUUAUCAUUGUAAACAUUCAAAUACCACUUGUUAUUUUAUGCAUCUAGAUUAGUGCAUCAAAUAUGUAAUUAGAACGGGGUAUUACAGUAUUUAAA
Non-coding RNA from Salvia hispanica, 331 nucleotides. NCBI's taxonomy places the organism in Eukaryota, Viridiplantae, Streptophyta, Magnoliopsida, Lamiales, Lamiaceae. The record is from RefSeq and is a predicted model, not a curated record.